This 76-nucleotide transfer RNA is filed under the name Modestobacter marinus. RNAcentral's name for it is "tRNA-Arg". It matches the Rfam family "tRNA". Rfam says of the family: Transfer RNA (tRNA) molecules are approximately 80 nucleotides in length. Their secondary structure includes four short double-helical elements and three loops (D, anti-codon, and T loops). The record is from RNAcentral. Lineage: Bacteria; Bacillati; Actinomycetota; Actinomycetes; Geodermatophilales; Geodermatophilaceae.
GCGCCCGUAGCUCAGUGGACAGAGCAGGUGCCUUCUAAGCACUUGGUCGCAGGUUCGAUCCCUGCCGGGCGCACUA